AGUGAACGCUGGCGGCAGGCCUAAUACAUGCAAGUCGAACGGCAGCACAGCAGAGCUUGCUCUGUGGGUGGCGAGUGGGCGGACGGGUGAGGAAUACGUGGGAAUCUGCCCAGUCGUGGGGGAUAACGUAGGGAAACUUACGCUAAUACCGCAUGCGCCCUUCGGGGAAAGCCGGGGACCUUCGGGCCUGGCGCGAUUGGAUGAGCCCACGUCGGAUUAGCUAGUUGGCGGGGUAAAGGCCCACCAAGGCGACGAUCCGUAGCUGGUCUGAGAGGAUGAUCAGCCACACUGGAACUGAGACACGGUCCAGACUCCUACGGGAGGCAGCAGUAGGGAAUAUUGGACAAUGGGCGCAAAGCCUGAUCCAGCCAUGCCGCGUGAGUGAAGAAGG
Molecule: ribosomal RNA, 391 nt
Filed under: uncultured bacterium
Lineage: Bacteria
Description: bacterial SSU rRNA
Rfam family: Bacterial small subunit ribosomal RNA
Source: RNAcentral